GGGUCUGGGUUAUGGUUAGGGUUUGGAUGUGUAUUCAACUAAGGUGUGUAUUCAGUUGUGGUCAUUUUGGUCAUUUUAAGUAAGGCCAUUAUUGUAAUAAAAAAUAACCAAUUAAUGGUGUGCAUUGAGAUCAAAUGUGUGUGCAAAUAAAUAGAAGCAUCCUUUGAUAUUUGUAGGAGAUAGGUUAGGUUAUAGAUUUAUUUAUUACUUUAGUGUGUUGUAGGCAGGAGCCGGGCAGGAACCCUAGCCGGCGACUGCCUCGUUUUCAUUGCAGUACCAUUACUCUGUAGAGUCCAUCCACAGCGCAAUCAAACUAAAACCCAUGGCUAUGCGUUUUGUUCUUGAGAGGACGGUGAAAAUCAAAACUUGGUAUGUCAAUCCAAAGCUUGGAUUUUGGUUUGGCAGCAGCGCUUUCAACACCAGUUGUAUUCCUCUUUGCCGGGUACUGACUGUUGCAAAAAUUGUGACUCAACUGCUAGCUUAUGUGACCAUUAUCCUCUGUUUGAGGACAUUAUAGUUCCUCGCUUGGCUUCCCGUCAUCCCCUUGCUGGUGGAUCUGCCCUGUGUGAUAAACCUUUAGACCAUCCUAAGAUUUUAAGGAUAGCUCGAAUCGCGGUUAAGCUGUACAACCGGCAGCAGGUUUUAUUAUUAUUAUUGUUAUUAUUAUUAUUAUUAUUAUAUCAUUGUGUUUGCGUAUUCCUGUAUUUUGUUUUUACAAUAAUAAUAUUAAGGCCUUGUUUGGGUUAAUCUAGUUUUGCACUUUUUUGUUUUUUUUAAUCUUAUUUAGGUCAUAUCACCUUUUAUUUGAGUCCCAUUACUUCUCUAUCACAUUUAAGAUAUUUUCAUAAAAAGUCAAAACCCAAACAACCCCUUAGCAUAAUGAUUGAUUGAUUAUGCUCAAUUCCAACUUUUGGUAUAUAUAUAUAUAGCAAAUAGAGGAGAAACAUGUCUUCCACCUUGCUAAACAUAAUGUGAAUUGAGACAUUGUAACCCUGCCCUCUUUAAAAGAGAUUCAAGCUAUGUGAAUUUGAUAACACCUUCAUAUCCCUCCAGUGGCGAUUCCAGCAAUAUUUAGAGUCCGGGUCACCUCACAUGUUCAAGUUCUACAAAUUGACAAGAAAUAAAGAAAAUUACACUAAACAACUUUUAGGUUUUAAAAAAAAAAAAGC
This is a non-coding RNA of Camellia sinensis, 1169 nucleotides long. Lineage: Eukaryota; Viridiplantae; Streptophyta; Magnoliopsida; Ericales; Theaceae. The record is from RefSeq and is a predicted model, not a curated record.